GAUGAACGCUGGCGGCGUGCUUAACACAUGCAAGUCGAGCGGAAAGGCCCAAGCUUGCUUGGGUCCUCGAGUGGCGAACGGGUGAGUAACACGUGGGUGAUCUGCCCUGCACUUCGGGAUAAGCCUGGGAAACUGGGUCUAAUACCGGAUAGGACGAUGGUUUGGAUGCCAUUGUGGAAAGUUUUUUCGGUGUGGGAUGAGCUCGCGGCCUAUCAGCUUGUUGGUGGGGUAAUGGCCUACCAAGGCGUCGACGGGUAGCCGGCCUGAGAGGGUGUACGGCCACAUUGGGACUGAGAUACGGCCCAGACUCCUACGGGAGGCAGCAGUGGGGAAUAUUGCACAAUGGGCGCAAGCCUGAUGCAGCGACGCCGCGUGGGGGAUGACGGCCUUCGGGUUGUAAACUCCUUUCGCUAGGGACGAAGCGUUUUUGUGACGGUACCUGGAGAAGAAGCACCGGCUAACUACGUG
Molecule: ribosomal RNA, 468 nt
Filed under: uncultured bacterium
Lineage: Bacteria
Description: partial 16S ribosomal RNA
Rfam family: Bacterial small subunit ribosomal RNA
Source: RNAcentral